This is a long non-coding RNA of Arachis ipaensis, 362 nucleotides long. RefSeq lists it as uncharacterized. Lineage: Eukaryota; Viridiplantae; Streptophyta; Magnoliopsida; Fabales; Fabaceae. The record is from RefSeq and is a predicted model, not a curated record.
AACAAGAAGAAGAAGAAGAAGAAAUAAAGUUGUUGUGUUGUUCAGACAUGGCGAUAUCAUUCCAUAUAUCAUCCAUAGAUGUCGUAGAAGCUCUCUUCCCCAAUAUCCUUGUUGGAAGAAGAUGAGGACUGGUAACUCGUAGACGAAGAUGAUGGAGAUGAUUGGGUGGUUGCAGGUGCACGCUUCUUCUCCUGUGCCUUCUGCUUCCUCAUCUGAGUCCUCCAAAAGUUCUUGAUCUCAUUGUCUGUUCGCCCUGGCAACUUCCUUGCAAUUCUUGACCACCUGCGUUAAUAUAUUCAAUUAUUGUACGACUCUAAUCUAUUAUUAAAAUAAUAAUAAAAUUAUUAUUUGAUAGUUAUAAA